GCCCCCGUAGCUUAACGGAUAGAGCAUCUGACUUCGGAUCAGACGGUUGUGAGUUCGAAUCUCGCCGGGGGCGCCA
This 76-nucleotide transfer RNA is filed under the name Chloroflexi bacterium RBG_16_47_49. RNAcentral describes it as "tRNA-Arg". It matches the Rfam family "tRNA". From Rfam's summary of the family: Transfer RNA (tRNA) molecules are approximately 80 nucleotides in length. Their secondary structure includes four short double-helical elements and three loops (D, anti-codon, and T loops). Further hydrogen bonds mediate the characteristic L-shaped molecular structure. tRNAs have two regions of fundamental functional importance: the anti-codon, which is responsible for specific mRNA codon recognition, and the 3' end, to which the tRNAs corresponding amino acid is attached (by aminoacyl-tRNA synthetases). tRNAs cope with the degeneracy of the genetic code in two manners: having more than one tRNA (with a specific anti-codon) for a particular amino acid; and 'wobble' base-pairing, i.e. permitting non-standard base-pairing at the 3rd anti-codon position. RNAcentral also lists the same sequence under 1 other name. Lineage: Bacteria; Bacillati; Chloroflexota. The record is from RNAcentral.